AAGUAAAAGCCACAGAACCCAAAAGAAAGAAUUAAAGAAGGAAAAAAAAUGGCAAAUUGUCAGACAAAGAGAAAAGGCUGAAGCUGAGGUAGUAGUGUGGAAUAGAAGAACAGAUAGAUAGACAAACGGGGAAAAUAGGAAUAAAAAAGAAAACCACAGGCCACCCUUAGCACAACCCCCUCAGCCCUUUGAAGCUCAGACAUCGAAGAGCGAAGAACGAAGAAGACAACUGUGGAAAAUAUAAAUAAAAAUUGUCUCUUUUUGCGCGUAAAAACACAAAAUUUUAUGCACUCCCUCUCUUUCUUGGCGUAUAUAUAAUAUCUCGUUUGAUUUUUGAGAAGAAAAUUCAUUAUCUUGUUAUAUCUGCUGCCUAUGGAUCCCUUUGAUUUGGUCUCUUCAAUCUCAGUCCUCCGCGAAGGUUUUGGCUGAUUGGUGACGAUAUUUGAAGCUUUCUCCUUUCAAAUUUCUUUUCAUGCAUGUAGAGACCCUUUUUUUCUUUUUUUAAUUUGGAAAAGAUCUGGAAACUUGAAGAAUGAACUUUUCGGGAAAAGGGGCUCUUAUUAGUGACAAAAAACUAUCCUCCACGAAGAUAACAACUUUGAAUCCAAAUGCUGCAGAAUUUGUUCCUUCUUCUCUUAGAUCAGUGACUGGAAGCACUAGUACUGCAGAAGCAUCUUCAAAGUUCGCUGCCUCUGCCACUGCAACAUUAGGAAAAUCUGUACUUGAUAGGUCUGAGUCUUCUGUCUCGAAUAACUCAGAUGAAGAGGCCCACCAGUAUUGGCGUCAUCAGCUACCUGAUGACAUCACUCCUGACUUUAAGGUUAUGGGGGAGGAUGAUCCUCAAGGAUUCAAUAGCCUAUCAUUAUCAAGUUUGUCACUAACUGAAGUCAAUGAAGCAUCUAGGUUUCCUGCUUCAAUAGGCAGUGGGUUUAUGCUGAAAGAUCAGAAUGAAUUAUCUCCUCAUUGUGUCAAUGGAAAUAGCUUUAAUGAGAAGAUGAGAUUUCCUGUUUCAUCCUAUGGCGAAAAUCUGUCCUCAGGCAGUUUCAAUAGCAUGUCAACUAAACCUUGGGACAAACAUAUUUUUAACAAUGACCGACUUCUUUCGAGUGUUAGGGAGGGAGCUCCGUACAAUGCGAAUUCAAGGCACAGUUUGCUGUCUGACUUGAUGAAUGAGCAGCAGUAUGUGGACAAUGCAGAUCCUCUUGACUUUUUGGCUUCACAAUUCCCUGGUUUUGCUGCUGAAAGUGUUGCAGAGGUUUACUUUGCCAAUGGGGGUGACUUGAACCUGACAAUUGAAAUGCUCACUCAGCUUGAACUUCAAGUGGAUGGUGGUUUGAAUCAAAGUAUAAAUUCAAAAGCCUUGUCAACUCCAAAUCUUAGUGCAAUGGAUUUCCCUGCUCUUUCAACAAUAGAAGGUCAAAAUGGCAUGACAAAGUUUGCUGGUGAUGAUCUCCAACAGAACAUCAGCCCUUAUAGAUCUUCUGAGAAAGACAAUGUACUUUUGUUCAAGUCUGGGUCUUCCUUUCCCUCUAGAGGAGCUAUAGAUUUUGCCGCAGCAGUUAGGAAAAUGACGCCUCAAGAUUCUGGCAUAUGGAAGUAUGACAGAAAUGGUUCUGCAGAUGUAAAUGCUGGAUCAAGUAGAGGUUCACAUGUCUUAGCAAGCUCAUACAACACUGGCCAGGUAAGGGGGAUUUACAAUGAUAGGUUACAGAGUCGGGGAUCAGCUCGUGCAGCUCCUAUCUGGCUUGAAACUGGAGAAGCAGUUGCAAAUAUGUAUUCUGAAAUGCGGGAGGAAGCUCGUGACCAUGCACGUGUCCGCAAUGCAUACUUUGAACAGAUUCAAGUACAAGACUCUUCUAGACCCUCUCCCUCAAGAAUUUAUCGCUUCCAAUGGGAAACUGUAAUUGCAUCUACUGUAUGGCCUCUCUUCUCCAUCAACUUUUUCCCAGCCCUUGACUGGAGGAACAACCCAAUUUCUUUCAAAAUUGGCAGUGUUCAAGGACUGCUUCUUUACUUUUAAGAUGAAUUAUGUAACUAUAUAAACAUUGGUUUACUGUUUUGAAUUUGAAGACUUUUGUCUGCUUGGUUUCUCAAUACACCUGGUCAGAAGGAUGUUUUGUCACCUUCUAGUUGAGUGAUCUACUAGGUGCUGGCAUGUAUUAACUUUUCCAAUUAAGUUUCUGUCUUUCCGCAAGGGGGACAAACUAAAUAUUUACCAUGAGUUUGCCUUUCGCCGUGAAACCUGACUCGUUGGUCUUUACAUUUUCUAGGAGGUUGAUAUUGUGCUCUUGUUGUACUCUUGUAAACUGACAGCAGUUGGUAGUGUCUCUUUAUGUAAAGGUUAUGUUUUCAUUCUACAUUGCAAGGGGCGAACAAGAAAUGCAAGAAACCCAUUUUGAGAGAAGGAAUCAAAAGGUUUCUAUGCUGUACAUAGUUGUUAGGUAUAGGUUGAUUUAUUACCUAAUCUUACUGUUGGUGAUGCUACAAUGGCUGAAAGGUGAAUAGUGAUAACUGUUCUACAUAUUUGAAGCGUAACAUGCUGAAAUCAAUGUGAACUAUACAUGCAUGAUGGUCUAUAGUGUUGAAGCUUCAUUCGAUCAUUGCUUGCAAGCCUCACCUUUUGAUGACUAAAUGAUAGAAUGAGGGUUGACAUGGUCAAUGGUAUCUUUUGGAAUAUGUCCAGUAUCGUCACUGCUGGCUAACAGUUCAGUUAAUUCUAUUUGAAAGUACGAGUUUUGUUUACCAAAUUGCAGUAUUCUUUGGAGCUAAUUGAUUUCCUUUAUAAUUUCUGUAUGCACGAGUAGGCUAGACAGGCAUACCUCGUUGGUAACAAGGCAUUAGCUAAAGAAUUGAGUUUAAAGGGGCAGCUCCACAACAUGCAGAUGAAGGCAGCUCAUGGAAAAGCUCAAGAUUCUAUCUACCGUCAGAGAAAUCCAGGUAAUCCGGACGGGAGGGGACAAGAGAGGAUAAUAGACCUGCACGGGCUUCAUGUGACUGAAGCUCUUCAUAUCCUUAAACGUGAGCUGUCUAUCUUGAGAAACGCAGCCCGAUCAGCUGAGCAACGACUGCAGGUAUACAUAUGCGUGGGAACCGGCCACCACACCAGGGGUUCACGUACGCCUGCUAGACUUCCAAUUGCUGUUCAGCGGUACCUGUUGGAGGAGGAAGGCCUUGAUUACUCUGAGCCGCAGCCUGGGCUCCUUAGGGUUGUGAUAUACUAAGUCAGGAAGGUAUAGGAAAGUUUUUUGACACGUAGCAUAACCCAUGGUAUCAAUCAAUCAAAAAGGAAAAAAAAAGUACAAAUGAAAAAUUUUUACUGCAUUUGUAAAUGGGAAGAAAUGGAAAAAGUAGAUCAGCUGUGCCCAAUAGAAAAGGGGAAAAAAAAUCUAAGAAAAAAAAUGGUAAAUGGAAGGAGAAAAGGGAGGAAUGUGUAUCAUUAAGCUUUAGUUGGCCAACUUUAGAAGUAAAUUUUUGUAGUUGCCACAGGAUCUUGUGUUAGUCUUCCCCCUCCACUUUUUGUAACUCGUACCCUGUAUUUUUGGUUCCUUGUUCGAUUCCUGUAACUGAUAGUAUUCAUUCACAUGAUAGUUCAAAUUCACAAAAUUGCGCCAAGUUAUCCUUA
Coffea arabica (coffee) is the source of this 3622-nucleotide non-coding RNA. The record is from RefSeq and is a predicted model, not a curated record. Lineage: Eukaryota; Viridiplantae; Streptophyta; Magnoliopsida; Gentianales; Rubiaceae.